AUCCUACGGGGCGCAGCAGUGGGGAAUAUUGCACAAUGGGGGAAACCCUGAUGCAGCGACGCCGCGUGGGCGAGGAAGUACCUCGGUAUGUAAAGCCCUAUCAGCAGGGAAGAAACAGGACAGUACCUGACUAAGAAGCCCCGGCUAACUACGUGCCAGCAGCCGCGGUAAUACGUAGGGGGCAAGCGUUAUCCGGAUUUACUGGGUGUAAAGGGGGCGCAGACGGCGAUGCAAGCCAGGAGUGAAAGCCCGGGGCCCAACCCCGGGACUGCUCUUGGAACUGCGUGGCUGGAGUGCAGGAGGGG
RNAcentral lists this ribosomal RNA (305 nucleotides) under uncultured bacterium. RNAcentral describes it as "bacterial SSU rRNA". It matches the Rfam family "Bacterial small subunit ribosomal RNA", at positions 335 to 657 of the family's 1533-position model. The record is from RNAcentral.